CCUACGGGGGGCUGCAGUGGGGAAUAUUGGACAAUGGGGGGAACCCUGAUCCAGCCAUGCCGCGUGUGUGAAGAAGGCCCUCGGGUUGUAAAGCACUUUCAGUGAGGAAGAACGCCUGGUGGUUAAUACCCAUCAGGAAAGACAUCACUCACAGAAGAAGCACCGGCUAACUCCGUGCCAGCAGCCGCGGUAAUACGGAGGGUGCGAGCGUUAAUCGGAAUUACUGGGCGUAAAGCGCGCGUAGGUGGCUUGAUAAGCCGGUUGUGAAAGCCCCGGGCUCAACCUGGGAACGGCAUCCGGAACUGUCAAGCUAGAGUGCAGGAGAGGAAGGUAGAAUUCCCGGUGUAGCGGUGAAAUGCGUAGAGAUCGGGAGGAAUACCAGUGGCGAAGGCGGCCUUCUGGACUGACACUGACACUGAGGUGCGAAAGCGUGGGUAGCAAACAGGAUUAGAUGCCCGGGUAGUC
Molecule: ribosomal RNA, 465 nt
Filed under: Vreelandella stevensii
Lineage: Bacteria; Pseudomonadati; Pseudomonadota; Gammaproteobacteria; Oceanospirillales; Halomonadaceae
Description: partial 16S ribosomal RNA
Rfam family: Bacterial small subunit ribosomal RNA
Source: RNAcentral